UGGGGAAUUUUCCNCAAUGGGCGAAANCCUGACGGAGCAAUACCGCGUGAGGGAUGACGGCCUAUGGGUUGUAAACCUCUUUUUUCAGGGAGGAAUAAAUGACGUGUACCUGAAGAAUAAGCAUCGGCUAACUCCGUGCCAGCMGCCGCGGUAAGACGGGGGAUGCAAGUGUUAUCCGGAAUCACUGGGCGUAAAGCGUCUGUAGGUGGUUUAAUAAGUCAACUGUUAAAUCUUGAGGCUCAACCUCGAAAUCGCAGUCGAAACUAUUAGACUAGAGUAUAGUAGGGGUAAAGGGAAUUUCCAGUGGAGCGGUGAAAUGCGUAGAUAUUGGAAAGAACACCGAUGGCGAAGGCACUUUACUGGGCUAUUACUAACACUGAGAGACGAAAGCUAGGGUAGCAAAUGGGAUUAGAUACCCCAGUAGUCCUACGCCGUAAACAAUGGAUACUAGAUGUUGAACAGAUCGACCUGUGCAGUAUCAAAGCUAACGCGUUAAGUAUCCCGCCUGGGAAGUAUGCUCGCAAGAGUGAAACUCAAAG
Molecule: ribosomal RNA, 539 nt
Filed under: uncultured cyanobacterium
Lineage: Bacteria; Bacillati; Cyanobacteriota
Description: bacterial SSU rRNA
Rfam family: Bacterial small subunit ribosomal RNA
Source: RNAcentral